UACGGAGGGUGCAAGCGUUAUCCGGAUUCACUGGGUUUAAAGGGUGCGUAGGCGGGCAGGUAAGUCAGUGGUGAAAUCUCCGGGCUUAACCCGGAAACUGCCGUUGAUACUAUCUGUCUUGAAUAUCGUGGAGGUAAGCGGAAUAUGUCAUGUAGCGGUGAAAUGCUUAGAUAUGACAUAGAACACCCAUUGCGAAGGCAGCUUACUACAGAGUAACUGACGCUGAGGCACGAAAGUGUGGGGAUCAAACAGG
This 253-nucleotide ribosomal RNA is filed under the name uncultured bacterium. RNAcentral describes it as "partial 16S ribosomal RNA". It matches the Rfam family "Bacterial small subunit ribosomal RNA", at positions 524 to 776 of the family's 1533-position model. The record is from RNAcentral.